GCCAGGCACAGUGGCCCAUGCCUGUAAUCCCAGCAACUCGGGAGGCUGAGGCAGGAGGAUCAUUAGUUCAAAAGCCAGCCUCAG
Molecule: small RNA, 84 nt
Filed under: Marmota monax (woodchuck)
Lineage: Eukaryota; Metazoa; Chordata; Mammalia; Rodentia; Sciuridae
Source: RNAcentral